This 57-nucleotide transfer RNA is filed under the name Bos taurus (domestic cattle). It matches the Rfam family "tRNA", at positions 8 to 63 of the family's 71-position model. From Rfam's summary of the family: Transfer RNA (tRNA) molecules are approximately 80 nucleotides in length. Their secondary structure includes four short double-helical elements and three loops (D, anti-codon, and T loops). Lineage: Eukaryota; Metazoa; Chordata; Mammalia; Artiodactyla; Bovidae. RNAcentral also lists the same sequence under 4 other names. The record is from Rfam by way of RNAcentral.
UGGCCUAGAUGGUAAAGAAUCUGCCUGCAGUGCAGAAGACCCAGGUUCAAUCCCUGG